Molecule: long non-coding RNA, 2051 nt
Filed under: Triticum aestivum (bread wheat)
Lineage: Eukaryota; Viridiplantae; Streptophyta; Magnoliopsida; Poales; Poaceae
Description: long non-coding RNA (TAES_LNC006584)
Source: RNAcentral
AAGAAUGCCGAUAAAAGCCAGUUCAUCUUGUUGUUCCCUUCAUGCUUCGACAGUUCCUAUGAUUCAUGUCCAUCAGUCUGUAGGGCAUUCCCACAUGCACCAGUGAUGUCAAGCACCAAUCAAGAAAUGAACAAGCUGACAAAAACUAUAAUAAGUGGAGGCCGUCAAAGUUAAGUUGAAAGAAAUGUCCAAUAGUUAAGCGUUAUUUUCAUAUUACAAGUUUGGCAAUGUCAAUUUCAAUAUCUACAUCAAACAAAGCCUUUUAAGAAAAAAAAUCAUAUUAAAGGAUUUAAGAUGGAGAGAGGAUUCAAGAUAGUUGGUCUCACUGAAAAUAGAGGUGUGGGGUUGUGCUUUACACUGACGCGAUAGUAAAACAAAGACCGCCAGACAAUUUUAAUGCAGGGCAUGGACUGACACAUCGCUGGUAUUGUAGCCCUCCACUCUAUGUGUGAUUUCAGAUUUAUAUUUGUUUGAUAGAAGAAAGAUGACAGAUAAUACAAUCAUCAGGUUGGGCACUGUUUAUGCAUUGGAAGGUAACCAAGGCAAAUAAAAUAUUCAUUAAGGACAUGUAAACAAAAAAUAAAAAUGAACUCCGGCCAUUAUCACCCAACUAAAACCAUUGGAUAAUGUACAACUCUAUAUUUUCAACAUACCUUGAGUAACAGUAGAGAGAAGAUGGCCGCAUGUCAAUUCUGAAUGGGAACAUCUUAAGAAUCGCAUGCCCUGUAGAAAGAAUAGCAGGAUGGGAAGUUUAUUGCUAAAAUGGAUCGAAGAAUAUUUUUUACAGUCAUACAACUCUAGGAUUCGAUUCGGAUGAAGUAGAAAUAUAGAUAAAUAUCAUUUUUUUGAGAACACAAAUAUAAAUAAACAUAAUCAGUAUGAAGGAAACACUGUUAUCAUUUUUUCACCGACCAAUGUACUCAUUGAAUUUGAGCGAGCUGUGAACAGUGCCCAAAUCAUGAUGGUUGUGCAAAAUUUCUAGUAACAUCACUUCUAACAGUACAUGAAUUAGUAACGUAUAAAUAUAUUCUUUUCAGUCAGCUUCGAAUCGGCAAACCAAGAGAAUGUACAUGUUUCUCUUCUUUAGCUUUUUGGCCCAGCGUUGUCACAAUUUUUUGCGAUAUUCUCUUUUGAGAUCCUCGAUUACUACCUUCAUGUAAAGCAUAACCAUCUACAUUAGAUCUUGACUGUUGAAUUUCUAGGUAGUAGGUAUCGGUUCACAUAAGUAGGAAAACACAAAUCUCUAAAAGUAACAUAUCCUUUCUUAGUAGCACUGGAAUUCUAUCAUUUAUGUAUUAAAUUCUCAAGGAAAUAUUUUAUCCUAAAGCCUAAAUCGUGAUGAAUUUCAGACUGCAAGUACACAGUUGUAGACACAAAGGACAUAUGCAGUUGACCAUGAGGCUCUUGAAGGCAAUUCAUCGAAUAACAAUACUCACAGUUUGGAGAAAUGGAGUGAGGUCUUUUGGCUGGUACAGCUGCACUUGAUGUCCCCAUCGUCACAUCCUUACGCCAGUGUGUGGGUCGCUCCUGAUGUCCCAUGCCCAGGCCUUCUCAACCGAACAAUGUCUGCCGUACCCGAUGACCUUUGUUGUAUUUAUCAACGAUCGCUUGCCACAAUCAACGAAGCCUGAUGAUCACCUCGCUCGAUGAAAAUUUUGUAACCCAUGCGUUGGACAAUAGCCAUGGAAGCAAAGUGACGAGGAGUACCCAACAGUAAGAGAGAAGCACAUGAUAUGUGUGUGCUUAUAAGGUGAAAAUAUGCGUCUAUGUUUUAUGUUCUUAGCUUUGUGUGAAGGACAGUCAAUUUCAGGAUGACAACAUCCAUUUUAAAGCAAAUGUUAGUUGGUAGAAAUAAACAUGCAACGACACUUAACUGCUUUACCAUUUGUACUUCACAAAAAGUGUUAAGCAUAGACUGACAAAGAAAAUACCUAGUCUGCAGGAUUACAAAAGUUGUAAGUACUUACCGGUAAUGAUCUAAAAAUUUAUCCACCAAAGUCAGUGCCAAUUCUUCUAGUGAUAACAUGAACAUUGUGACAAGGUAAACCGAG